RNAcentral lists this transfer RNA (127 nucleotides) under Acidomyces richmondensis BFW. It matches the Rfam family "tRNA". Rfam says of the family: Transfer RNA (tRNA) molecules are approximately 80 nucleotides in length. Their secondary structure includes four short double-helical elements and three loops (D, anti-codon, and T loops). Further hydrogen bonds mediate the characteristic L-shaped molecular structure. tRNAs have two regions of fundamental functional importance: the anti-codon, which is responsible for specific mRNA codon recognition, and the 3' end, to which the tRNAs corresponding amino acid is attached (by aminoacyl-tRNA synthetases). tRNAs cope with the degeneracy of the genetic code in two manners: having more than one tRNA (with a specific anti-codon) for a particular amino acid; and 'wobble' base-pairing, i.e. permitting non-standard base-pairing at the 3rd anti-codon position. Lineage: Eukaryota; Fungi; Ascomycota; Dothideomycetes; Mycosphaerellales; Teratosphaeriaceae. The record is from Rfam by way of RNAcentral.
GCUUCGAUGGUUUAGUGGUAGAAUUUCACCUUCCCAAGGUGGAGGCACGGGUUGUAGGUUGCUCACCUGAUUCUCGUAAAUUUCCGCAUCAUACUUAUCAAUGUUGCAGCGAUUCCCGUUCGAAGCA